RNAcentral lists this ribosomal RNA (468 nucleotides) under uncultured bacterium. RNAcentral's name for it is "partial 16S ribosomal RNA". It matches the Rfam family "Bacterial small subunit ribosomal RNA", at positions 28 to 507 of the family's 1533-position model. The record is from RNAcentral.
GACGAACGCUGGCGGCGUGCUUAACACAUGCAAGUCGAACGGAAAGGCCCUGCUUUUGUGGGGUGCUCGAGUGGCGAACGGGUGAGUAACACGUGAGUAACCUGCCCUUGACUUUGGGAUAACUUCAGGAAACUGGGGCUAAUACCGGAUAGGAGCUCCUGCUGCAUGGUGGGGGUUGGAAAGUUUCGGCGGUUGGGGAUGGACUCGCGGCUUAUCAGCUUGUUGGUGGGGUAGUGGCUUACCAAGGCUUUGACGGGUAGCCGGCCUGAGAGGGUGACCGGCCACAUUGGGACUGAGAUACGGACCAGACUCCUACGGGAGGCAGCAGUGGGGAAUAUUGCACAGUGGGCGGAAGCCUGAUGCAGCAACGCCGCGUGCGGGAUGACGGCCUUCGGGUUGUAAACAGCUUUCGCCUGUGACGAAGCGUGAGUGACGGUAAUGGGUAAAGAAGCACCGGCUAACUACGUG